UUCCCCAUUUGGAAAAUGGAGAAACCUGGGACUAAGAACCUAGAUUUUUUUUUUUUUUGGUCUAGUUUCCUUUCCCCUAAAUAACAAUCUUUCCUUCUCAACAUGGUAGUUAUGCAAGCUGAGCUGAGUGAAGAAUAUAUGAAAAUACUGUAUAAAAUGUAGAUAGAAAGAGACUGACAUUUAUUGAGCAUCUACUGUGAUCCAGGCAUUUGUGAUAGAAGGGUUAGGAAGAUGUUGUUCUUUCCAAUUUUGGAAAAAAUAAAAAGUAGAUGAAGAGUAGAAUAACAUUACAAGAAAUUACAAAAUUACAAAAAAAUCCCACAAGCAUAUCCACAUGACCUGCCCUUGAGUGAUGUACUAGAAAGACUGAUGGUCUCCCCAAAAUGUCCAUGUCCUGUGAGUACACCACCUUUUAUGGCAAAAGGGACUUUGCAAACAUAGUUAGAUUUGGUUUUUGAGAGGGGAAGAUUAUUUCAGAUUCUCUGGGUGGGCUCAAUGUAAUUGCAAGGUCCAAUACAAGGGAAAGAGAGAGUCAGGAAGGUCCGAGUCAGAGAGAAGAAGAUAUGCAAAUAGAAGCAAAAGUCAGAGUGAUGUGAGGAUGGGGCCAUGGGCCAAGGAACGUGGAAGCUGGGCAAGGCAAGACCCAGCUCUAGAGCCUAGAGCCUCCAGAAGGAGCACAACUGGAAUCCUGCCAACACCUCGAUUUUAGCCAACACCCAUUCUGGAUGUUGGCCCAGAAUGCUAGGAUAAUGCAUUUUGAUUGUUUUGAUGAUCCACUAAGUUUAUGGUAAUUUGUAAUAGCAGCAAUGGGACGCUCACACACAUGGCUUAUAAUGUAUGGAAUGAAGAUAUCCAAUAACGGAGCAUUUCAUUUCAGUGUGGCAGGCCAUGACGGGCGGGUGCAGUUGGGUGUGCAGUAGACUUGCUCAGAAGAGGUUUAGGAUGCAGAAGAGCUCGGUUAUGAAGAUGCCAUUCGUUUCUCAGGCCUGUCUUCAGUGUCUCCCUCUGUGGUCUUUUCCUAUCAACCUGGCAUUCCAGUCCUCACUAUAUG
This 1051-nucleotide long non-coding RNA is filed under the name Marmota monax (woodchuck). The record is from RNAcentral. Lineage: Eukaryota; Metazoa; Chordata; Mammalia; Rodentia; Sciuridae.